RNAcentral lists this ribosomal RNA (301 nucleotides) under uncultured bacterium. RNAcentral describes it as "partial 16S ribosomal RNA". It matches the Rfam family "Bacterial small subunit ribosomal RNA", at positions 509 to 809 of the family's 1533-position model. The record is from RNAcentral.
CAGUAGCCACGGUAAUACAGAGGGUGCGAGCGUUAAUCGGAUUUACUGGGCGUAAAGCGUGCGUAGGCGGCUUUUUAAGUCGGAUGUGAAAUCCCUGAGCUUAACUUAGGAAUUGCAUUCGAUACUGGGAAGCUAGAGUAUGGGAGAGGAUGGUAGAAUUCCAGGUGUAGCGGUGAAAUGCGUAGAGAUCUGGAGGAAUACCGAUGGCGAAGGCAGCCAUCUGGCCUAAUACUGACGCUGAGGUACGAAAGCAUGGGGAGCAGACAGGAUUAGAUACCCCGGUAGUCCCUGUCUCUUAUAA